Molecule: transfer RNA, 77 nt
Filed under: Actinomadura madurae
Lineage: Bacteria; Bacillati; Actinomycetota; Actinomycetes; Streptosporangiales; Thermomonosporaceae
Description: tRNA_Asn_GTT
Rfam family: tRNA
About the family: Transfer RNA (tRNA) molecules are approximately 80 nucleotides in length.
Source: RNAcentral
UCCGGUGUCGCCCACUCCGGCAGGGCAGCGGGCUGUUAACCCGUCAGGCGCAGGUUCGAAUCCUGCCACCGGAGCCG